Molecule: ribosomal RNA, 301 nt
Filed under: uncultured bacterium
Lineage: Bacteria
Description: partial 16S ribosomal RNA
Rfam family: Bacterial small subunit ribosomal RNA
Source: RNAcentral
CAGUCGCCGCGGGAAUACGUAGGGUGCAAGCGUUAAUCGGAAUUACUGGGCGUAAAGCGUGCGCAGGCGGUUAUAUAAGUCAGAUGUGAAAUCCCCGGGCUCAACCUGGGAACUGCAUUUGAGACUGUAUGGCUAGAGUGUGUCAGAGGAGAGUGGAAUUCCACGUGUAGCAGUGAAAUGCGUAGAGAUGUGGAGGAACACCGAUGGCGAAGGCAACCUCCUGGCCUGCACUGACGCUCAUGCACGAAAGCGUGGGGAGCAAACAGGAUUAGAUACCCGCGUAGUCCCUGUCUCUUAUACA